GAAAACAAUGGGUUGAAAUAUCUAUUGAUAUUGUACAAGAAGUAUUUUAUUGAAGGCUUAAGUUAUUACUCAACAAAUAAAAAUUGAAAUUAUGAACAGGCGAGAUCAAUUUAGAAGCACUUUUUUUUUCUUCAGAAUAUAGCAGACAGAAUUCCAUUGGUAUAAUUUUGGACCUUCCAAUCUAUUUUUUCUCUAUCUAUUCUACAACCAUACGAAGAUAAAUAAUACUGAUUCGGUCCUAAAAUUUAUUUGUGACCCACAAG
RNAcentral lists this long non-coding RNA (263 nucleotides) under Gossypium barbadense (sea-island cotton). Its description in RNAcentral is "long non-coding RNA (GBAR_LNC009333)". Lineage: Eukaryota; Viridiplantae; Streptophyta; Magnoliopsida; Malvales; Malvaceae. The record is from RNAcentral.